GGCCGAGUAGCAAAGUGGUAAUGCUGCGGAUUGCAAAUCCGCCACUCGUCGGUUCGAUUCCGGCCUCGGCCU
RNAcentral lists this transfer RNA (72 nucleotides) under endosymbiont of Acanthamoeba sp. UWC8. It matches the Rfam family "tRNA". From Rfam's summary of the family: Transfer RNA (tRNA) molecules are approximately 80 nucleotides in length. Their secondary structure includes four short double-helical elements and three loops (D, anti-codon, and T loops). Lineage: Bacteria; Pseudomonadati; Pseudomonadota; Alphaproteobacteria; Holosporales; Holosporaceae. The record is from Rfam by way of RNAcentral.